Small nuclear RNA from Solanum pennellii, 160 nucleotides. RefSeq annotates it as U1 spliceosomal RNA. The record is from RefSeq and is a predicted model, not a curated record. Lineage: Eukaryota; Viridiplantae; Streptophyta; Magnoliopsida; Solanales; Solanaceae. The transcript has a single exon.
AUAUUGAGACGAGGUUAAUGGGUGCUCGAGCACCCUCAUACAAUCGACUUUUUGGGUUGUGUGCAUUUUCCCUAAGGACCCCAUUGCACUUUGGAGGGGUGCCUGUUUAAGGUCGAUCCAAGUGAUCGAGCCUACGUCAUAAUUUGUGAAUGCGGGCCCC